This 503-nucleotide ribosomal RNA is filed under the name uncultured bacterium. RNAcentral's name for it is "bacterial SSU rRNA". It matches the Rfam family "Bacterial small subunit ribosomal RNA", at positions 29 to 521 of the family's 1533-position model. The record is from RNAcentral.
AUUGAACGCUGGCGGAAUGCUUUACACAUGCAAGUCGAGCGGCAGCGCGGGGCAACCUGGCGGCGAGCGGCGAACGGGUGAGUAAUACAUCGGAACGUGCCCAGACGUGGGGGGAUAACUACUCGAAAGAGUGGCUAAUACCGCAUACGAUCUAAGGAUGAAAGCGGGGGAUCGCAAGACCUCGCGCGUUUGGAGCGGCCGAUGGCAGAUUAGGUAGUUGGUGGGGUAAAGGCUUACCAAGCCCGCGAUCUGUAGCUGGUCUGAGAGGAUGAUCAGCCACACUGGGACUGAGACACGGCCCAGACUCCUACGGGAGGCAGCAGUGGGGAAUUUUGGACAAUGGGCGCAAGCCUGAUCCAGCCAUGCCGCGUGAGUGAAGAAGGCCUUCGGUUGUAAGACUCUUUCCUAGCCGGAAAGAAAACGACACGGUUAAGUAACCUAGUGUGGAUGACGGUACCGGAAGUAAGAAGACACCGGCUAACUACGUAGCCAGCAGCCGCGGU